RNAcentral lists this ribosomal RNA (254 nucleotides) under uncultured bacterium. RNAcentral describes it as "partial 16S ribosomal RNA". It matches the Rfam family "Bacterial small subunit ribosomal RNA", at positions 524 to 776 of the family's 1533-position model. The record is from RNAcentral.
UACGUAGGGUGCAAGCGUUUGUCCGGAAUUAUUGGGCGUAAAGAGCUCGUAGGCGGUCUGUCGCGUCUGGUGUGAAAAUCCAGGGCUUAACCCUGGACCUGCAUCGGGUACGGGCAGACUAGAGUGUGGUAGGGGAGAUCGGAAUUCCUGGUGUAGCGGUGAAAUGCGCAGAUAUCAGGAGGAACACCGGUGGCGAAGGCGGAUCUCUGGGCCAUAACUGACGCUGAGGAGCGAAAGCAUGGGGAGCGAACAGG